Molecule: transfer RNA, 74 nt
Filed under: Oryzias latipes (Japanese medaka)
Lineage: Eukaryota; Metazoa; Chordata; Actinopteri; Beloniformes; Adrianichthyidae
Also listed under: 1 other name
Rfam family: tRNA
About the family: Transfer RNA (tRNA) molecules are approximately 80 nucleotides in length. Their secondary structure includes four short double-helical elements and three loops (D, anti-codon, and T loops).
Source: Rfam by way of RNAcentral
GGGGCAGUGGCUCAGGUGGUUGAGCAGGUUGGCCAAUGAUCAAUGGGACGGUGGUUCGAUCCCUGCCUCCCCCA